AAGCGCACGUAGGCGGUUUGUUAAGUCGGAUGUGAAAUCCCCGCGCUCAACGUGGGAACUGCAUUCGAAACUGGCAAGCUAGAGUCUUGUAGAGGGGGGUGGAAUUCCUGGUGUAGCGGUGAAAUGCGUAGAGAUCUGGAGGAACACCGGUGGCGAAGGCGGCCCCCUGGACAAAGACUGACGCUCAGGUGCGAAAAGCGUGGGGAGCAAACAGGAUUAGAUACCCUGGUAGUCCACGCCGUAAAACGAUGUCGACUUGGGAGGUUGGGCCCUUGAGGCGUGCCUUCCGGAGCUAACGCGUUAAAUCGACCGCCUGGGGAGUACCGGCGCAAGGUUAAAACUCAAAUGAAUUGGCGGGGGCCCGCACAAGCGGUGGAACAUGUGGUUUAAUUUCAUGCCACGCGAAAAACCUUACCUAGUCUUGAAAUCCUAAGAAAUCGCUAGAGAUAGGUUAGUGCCUUCGGGAACUCUGAGACAGGUGCUGCAUGGCUGUCGUCAGCUCGUGUUGUGAAAUGUUGGGUUAAGUCCCGCAACGAGCGCACCCCUUUGUCCUUUUUUUGCCAGCACGUAAUGGGGGGAACUCAAAGGAAGACUGCCGGGUGACAAACCGGAAGGAAAGGUGGGGGAUAACGUCAAGUCAUCAUGGCCCUUACGAGUAGGGGCUACACACUGUGGCUAAAAUGGCGUGAUACAAAAGGGAGCGCAGAACUCGCGAGGGGCAAGCCGAACCCUCAUAAAGUACGAUCGUAUUCCGGAUGGGAGUCGUGCAACUUCGACUCGCGUGAA
This 786-nucleotide ribosomal RNA is filed under the name Serratia sp. (in: enterobacteria). Its description in RNAcentral is "bacterial SSU rRNA". It matches the Rfam family "Bacterial small subunit ribosomal RNA", at positions 563 to 1324 of the family's 1533-position model. Lineage: Bacteria; Pseudomonadati; Pseudomonadota; Gammaproteobacteria; Enterobacterales; Yersiniaceae. The record is from RNAcentral.